This 459-nucleotide ribosomal RNA is filed under the name uncultured bacterium. RNAcentral describes it as "partial 16S ribosomal RNA". It matches the Rfam family "Bacterial small subunit ribosomal RNA", at positions 338 to 795 of the family's 1533-position model. The record is from RNAcentral.
CCUACGGGAGGCAGCAGUGAGGAAUAUUGGUCAAUGGGCGCGAGCCUGAACCAGCCAAGUCGCGUGAGGGAAGACGGUCCUAUGGAUUGUAAACCUCUUUUGUCGGGGAGCAAAAGACGCCACGCGUGGCGUUCCGAGAGUACCCGUAGAAAAAGCAUCGGCUAACUCCGUGCCAGCAGCCGCGGUAAUACGGAGGAUGCGAGCGUUAUCCGGAUUUAUUGGGUUUAAAGGGUGCGCAGGCGGAAGAUCAAGUCAGAGGUAAAAUUGAGGGGCUCAACCUCUUCGAGCCGUUGAAACUGGUUGUCUUGAGUGAGUGAGAAGUAUGCGGAAUGCGUGGUGUAGCGGUGAAAUGCAUAGAUAUCACGCAGAACUCCGAUUGCGAAGGCAGCAUACCGGCGCUCAACUGACGCUCAUGCACGAAAGUGUGGGUAUCGAACAGGAUUAGAUACCCGAGUAGUC